RNAcentral lists this unclassified non-coding RNA (956 nucleotides) under Hevea brasiliensis (rubber tree). The record is from RNAcentral. Lineage: Eukaryota; Viridiplantae; Streptophyta; Magnoliopsida; Malpighiales; Euphorbiaceae.
UUUAUGGAAUUUAUAGUAGGCAUAAAAAAAAAUAUAUAUAUAAAAAUUAAAAAGGUCCUACAAAAUAGGCCCUAACCGAUAGACAGAACCAAAUAAAAAAAUUUUCAGUUUGGUACAAUCCCUACUCCAGUUUAAUUCAGUUAAUAUUAUUUCUUAGUUUGAUUUUUCAGUUAUUUUAGCUUGAUCUGUUUCAAUGAGAAAUUCAAUUGAAGGGCCAUCUAGUGGAAUUAUUGUCUCAUGUUAAUCUAUCGAGAGGACAGCUUGGUUUGGAAACCUGCAAUAAAUGGCAUUUUUUCGGUUUCUUCACUCUACAAGGCGCUGGUUAAUGCCACAGAGCAUGAUGGUCUGUUGGUACAGACAGUGUGGCUGGUUAUGCCCCACCAAAAGCAGAGCUUCUUUUGUGGAUGAUUUGUAGGAAUUGUCUAUGUGUGAGGGAUAAAUUGUGCAUCUUAGGAAUAAUUCCAUAGGUUCAAAACCUAUGCCUCUUUUGUUCGGAAUUUGAGGGAACAAUUCCACAUGUAUUUCUCUUUUGUAAGUUUUCAUGGUAGCUGUGGGCUUGGUUUGCAAGGUGGUGGGAAUUUAGCACUUGUAUUCUAGGUUUGAUGUCAUAUUGGUUUAUGCAAUGGAGUUUUUUGAAGCUUGGUAAGUUCCAAAGACAUUUUCUAGACCACUUCGUUUUCGCUAUUAUUUGGUCUUUGUGGAUUGCAAGGAAUGAGAAAGUCUAUAGAACUAAGGAAUGCUUAAUAGCUACAUUGUGCACUUUGGUUUUGCAUAGGUUGUCGAUUUGGAUGAAAGCACUCGAUGUAGGUUUUCCUUUCUCUUGGUGGACUUACUGGUAACGUCAGAGUCGGUUAAAAGUUGGACCAAUUUGAGAACUCAGUGGUCUGUGAUUGAUUGGGUUCCUCCAUUGGGGUCAUCCCUAAGGUGGAACGUGGAUGGGUCAUCGAGGGGGAAAC